Molecule: long non-coding RNA, 285 nt
Filed under: Elaeis guineensis (African oil palm)
Lineage: Eukaryota; Viridiplantae; Streptophyta; Magnoliopsida; Arecales; Arecaceae
Description: long non-coding RNA (EGUI_LNC047126)
Source: RNAcentral
UUAGAGUGGUCAAUUCCAUCUUGACUCACGCAUCUACUUCACAAGUACCUGACUGUACCCAAAAAUCUUUCGAUCUUGAAUUAAAAAUUCAGGUAGUUCAGCAUCAAAGCACAGUGAGCUGCUUGUAAGUCAUCGUGGUGAUCUUAGAUCGGAGGGACACUUAUACCUAUAUCCUUUUCGGAGUGACUCUUGACAGCAGAGUGCUCCGGAGUUGGUCAUGUUUCGUGAAAUGUACUCCUACAUUUUACCUGCAUGCCAUACCAGCGUCUCCAUGCUCCUUGGUUA